This 422-nucleotide ribosomal RNA is filed under the name uncultured bacterium. Its description in RNAcentral is "bacterial SSU rRNA". It matches the Rfam family "Bacterial small subunit ribosomal RNA", at positions 355 to 774 of the family's 1533-position model. The record is from RNAcentral.
UAAGGAAUAUUGGACAAUGGAGGCAACUCUGAUCCAGCCAUGCCGCGUGAAGGAAUAAGGCCCUAUGGGUUGUAAACUUCUUUUAGACGGGACAAAACCCCUUUGCGUGUAAAGGGUUGAUGGUACUGUCAGAAUAAGCAUCGGCUAACUUCGUGCCAGCAGCCGCGGUAAUACGAAGGAUGCAAGCGUUAUCCGGAAUUAUUGGGUUUAAAGGGUGCGUAGGCGGACUAAUAAGUCAGUGGUGAAGGCCUGCAGCUUAACUGCAGAAUUGCCAUUGAUACUGUUAGUCUUGAGUACAGUUGAGGUAGGCGGAAUGUGUCAUGUAGCGGUGAAAUGCUUAGAUAUGACACAGAACACCGAUUGCGAAGGCAGCUUGCUAAGCUGUAACUGACGCUGAGGCACGAAAGCGUGGGGAGCAAACA